This 884-nucleotide ribosomal RNA is filed under the name uncultured Oscillospiraceae bacterium. RNAcentral's name for it is "bacterial SSU rRNA". It matches the Rfam family "Bacterial small subunit ribosomal RNA", at positions 9 to 923 of the family's 1533-position model. The record is from RNAcentral. Lineage: Bacteria; Bacillati; Bacillota; Clostridia; Eubacteriales; Oscillospiraceae.
AAGUUUGAUCAUGGCUCAGGACGAACGCUGGCGGCGUGCCUAACACAUGCAAGUCGAACGGGUUAUUUCUUCGGAGAUAACUUAGUGGCGAACGGGUGAGUAACGCGUGAGAAACCUGCCUUCAGUGGGGGACAACAGUUGGAAACGACUGCUAAUACCGCAUAAUGUUUCGAGAGGGCAUCUCUUGAAACCAAAGCUUUAUGUGCUGAAAGAUGGUCUCGCGUCUGAUUAGCUAGAUGGCGGGUAACGGCCCACCAUGGCGACGAUCAGUAGCCGGUCUGAGAGGAUGAACGGCCACAUUGGACUGAGAUACGGCCCAGACUCCUACGGGAGGCAGCAGUGGGGAAUAUUGGGCAAUGGGGAAACCCUGACCCAGCAACGCCGCGUGAAGGAAGAAGGCCUUCGGGUUGUAAACUUCUUUACCAGGGACGAAGAACGUGACGGUACCUGGAGAAAAAGCAACGGCUAACUACGUGCCAGCGCCGCGGUAAUACGUAGGUUGCAAGCGUUGUCCGGAUUUACUGGGUGUAAAGGGCGUGUAGCGGAGAUGCAAGUUGGGAGUGAAAUCCCGGGGCUCAACCCCGGAACUGCUUUCAAAACUUAUCCCUUGAGUGUCGGAGAGGCAAGCGGAAUUCCUAGUGUAGCGGUGAAAUGCGUAGAUUUAGGAGGAACACCAGUGGCGAAGGCGGCUUGCUGGACGAUAACUGACGCUGAGGCGCGAAGCGUGGGGAGCAAACAGGAUUAGAUACCCUGGUAGUCCACGCUGUAAACGAUGAAUACUGGUGUGGGAGGACUGACCCCUUCCGUGCCGCAGUUAACACAAUAAGUAUUCCACCUGGGGGUACGACCGCAAGGUUGAAACUCAAGGAAUUGACGGGGGCCCG